UGGGGAAUAUUGGACAAUGCGGGAAACCGUGAUCCAGCAAUGCCGCGUGAGUGAUGAAGGCCUUAGGGUUGUAAAGCUCUUUUACCAGGGAUGAUAAUGACAGUACCUGGAGAAUAAGCUCCGGCUAACUCCGUGCCAGCAGCCGCGGUAAUACGGAGGGGGCUAGCGUUGUUCGGAAUUACUGGGCGUAAAGCGCACGUAGGCGGAUUGGAAAGUUAGAGGUGAAAUCCCAGGGCUCAACCCUGGAACUGCCUUUAAAACUAUCAGUCUAGAGUUCGAGAGAGGUGAGUGGAAUUCCGAGUGUAGAGGUGAAAUUCGUAGAUAUUCGGAGGAACACCAGUGGCGAAGGCGGCUCACUGGCUCGAUACUGACGCUGAGGUGCGAAAGCGUGGGGAGCAAACAGGAUUAGAUACCCCGGUAGUCC
Molecule: ribosomal RNA, 424 nt
Filed under: uncultured prokaryote
Description: bacterial SSU rRNA
Rfam family: Bacterial small subunit ribosomal RNA
Source: RNAcentral